AUGAGCAUGCGCGAACUGAUCGAGAAAGCUCGCCUCACCAUGGCUCGCCUCGACAAGGCUCGAUCGGCCUCCAAAGAAGAGGCCAGUCGUCAGCAGGAGAUCGAGCGCAGCAGAGCAGAGGCCAGGCGAAAGGUGGAGCAGAUGGCGGACACCGUGCAGUUCAACGACCCCUGGAUCCAUUACUCCGACGUGACCAAGUCCCCCGAGGAGCUGCUCCAAGCAAGACAGCACGCAUGGCGUUAUCAAGCUCGCCUCCUCGAGAUGGCUCGUCGACGGGACUUUGCGCAAGCGAUGCAAAUCCACGGAUGA
RNAcentral lists this ribosomal RNA (309 nucleotides) under Triticum aestivum (bread wheat). RNAcentral's name for it is "partial small subunit ribosomal RNA". The record is from RNAcentral. Lineage: Eukaryota; Viridiplantae; Streptophyta; Magnoliopsida; Poales; Poaceae.